AGAGUUUGAUCCUGGCUCAGAACGAACGCUGGCGGCAGGCCUAACACAUGCAAGUCGAGCGCACCACUUCGGUGGCGAGCGGCGGACGGGUUAGUAACGCGUGGGAAUAUGCCCUUCUCUACGGAAUAGCCUUUGGAAACGAAGAGUAAUACCGUAUACGCCCUUCGGGGGAAAGAUUUAUCGGAGAAGGAUUAGCCCGCGUAAGAUUAGAUAGUUGGUGGGGUAAUGGCCUACCAAGUCUACGAUCUUUAGCUGGUUUUAGAGGAUGAUCAGCAACACUGGGACUGAGACACGGCCCAGACUCCUACGGGAGGCAGCAGUGGGGAAUCUUGGACAAUGGGCGCAAGCCUGAUCCAGCCAUGCCGCGUGUGUGAUGAAGGCCCUAGGGUCGUAAAGCACUUUCGCCAGAGAUGAUAAUGACAGUAUCUGGUAAAGAAGUCCCGCUAACU
Molecule: ribosomal RNA, 449 nt
Filed under: uncultured bacterium
Lineage: Bacteria
Description: bacterial SSU rRNA
Rfam family: Bacterial small subunit ribosomal RNA
Source: RNAcentral